Molecule: ribosomal RNA, 543 nt
Filed under: Chirixalus doriae (Doria's Asian treefrog)
Lineage: Eukaryota; Metazoa; Chordata; Amphibia; Anura; Rhacophoridae
Description: Chiromantis doriae (Doria's Asian treefrog) partial 16S ribosomal RNA
Rfam family: Bacterial large subunit ribosomal RNA
Source: RNAcentral
UCUUGCUUAAUAUAAGAGGUCCAGCCUGCCCAGUGAAAAUUUAACGGCCGCGGUACCCUGACCGCGCGAAGGUAGCAUAAUCACUCGUUCUUUAAAUAGGGACUUGUAUCAAUGGCAUCACGAGGGUCGCACUGUCUCCUCCCCCCAAUCAGUGAACCUGAUCUCUCCGUGAAGAAGCGGGGAUGAAAAUAUAAGACGAGAAGACCCCAUGGAGCUUUAAACCCAAAGCAAUCUAAUAAAAUAAACCCCCAUAUAAUUUAAGUAUGCAUAACGGCUUUAGGUUGGGGUGACCGCGGGGCAAAAACAAACCCCCACAACGAAAAGAGAUAAACCUUUAUUUAAGAGCUACUACUCUAAAAAUUAGCACACUAACGAACAAUGACCCGACAAUCGAUCAAUGAACCAAGUUACCCUGGGGAUAACAGCGCAAUCUACUUCAAGAGCCCAUAUCGACAAGUAGGCUUACGACCUCGAUGUUGGAUCAGGGUAUCCCAGUGGUGCAACCGCUACUAAUGGUUCGUUUGUUCAACGAUUAAAACCCCU